CCUGCAGAGCCCUGGGAGAGA
RNAcentral lists this microRNA (21 nucleotides) under Gallus gallus (chicken). Its description in RNAcentral is "gga-miR-12261-3p". The record is from miRBase by way of RNAcentral. Lineage: Eukaryota; Metazoa; Chordata; Aves; Galliformes; Phasianidae.